Molecule: ribosomal RNA, 432 nt
Filed under: uncultured bacterium
Lineage: Bacteria
Description: partial 16S ribosomal RNA
Rfam family: Bacterial small subunit ribosomal RNA
Source: RNAcentral
AACGAACGCUGGCGGCAUGCCUAAUACAUGCAAGUCGAACGAGAUCUUCGGAUCUAGUGGCGCACGGGUGCGUAACGCGUGGGAAUCUGCCCUUGGGUUCGGAAUAACUUCUGGAAACGGAAGCUAAUACCGGAUGAUGACGUAAGUCCAAAGAUUUAUCGCCCAAGGAUGAGCCCGCGUAGGAUUAGCUAGUUGGUGGGGUAAAGGCCCACCAAGGCGACGAUCCUUAGCUGGUCUGAGAGGAUGAUCAGCCACACUGGGACUGAGACACGGCCCAGACUCCUACGGGAGGCAGCAGUAGGGAAUAUUGGACAAUGGGGGAAACCCUGAUCCAGCAAUGCCGCGUGAGUGAUGAAGGCCUUAGGGUUGUAAAGCUCUUUUACCCGGGAUGAUAAUGACAGUACCGGGAGAAUAAGCUCCGGCUAACUCCGU